Alnus glutinosa is the source of this 1353-nucleotide long non-coding RNA. RefSeq lists it as uncharacterized. The record is from RefSeq and is a predicted model, not a curated record. Lineage: Eukaryota; Viridiplantae; Streptophyta; Magnoliopsida; Fagales; Betulaceae. The transcript has 4 exons.
UCUCAUUUCUCUUAAAGUUUUUCAUACAAAAACCAUGAUCUACGGAGAUCUAACCGUUCAAACUCAAAUCCGUCCUCGGUAAAGUGAUCUAUGAAGUCCAAUCUAUGUUUUCACCGAUCGUUUUGAGGUAAUGGGUUACUUGGAACUUGCUUGAGGCUACCCAAACCAUGGGUUUUGGUUUGGUGAAAUUUUGUGAUACAUUGCAAGGUGGUGUCUAGGAGACCUAGUGCUUAAUAUCCGCCCAGCCAAGGGAUUCCAAUAUUCAGAGUUUGCAAGUCAGAAGAAAUUCAAGUUCCCUAUCAGCCGUCUGGACGAUCGAGCCAUCUCGUCCGGACGUCCAUCUGUCAACUGUUCCAUCCGUCCGGACGACAUGUCAUCCCGUCCGGACGCUAGACAGACCAGUAUCAUCCGUCUGGAUGAAGUGUUCAUUCCGUCCAGACCCCAUACUGUAUCGAGAAGUUUCUGUGCCAGCUUGCAUCCGUCCGGACGUUUUAGCAGCAUCUCCGAACGCCUCCCAGUACUCAAUCAGUUUCUGAAUUCUUUCCAAGUUCCAAGAAAAGGAAGAUCAGUCAACCGUCCAGACGAUGUGAUAUCCCGUUCGGACGCGCGUCUCCGUAAGGCAAGAAUCGCAAUUCAAAUAUGACCGUCCGGACGUCUGACAAUUAUGGUCCAGACGAGAGUGCAUCAAAGAAGGAAAUUGGCGAUUCAACUUCAACUGUCCGGACGAUAGCCUAUCAUGGUCCGGACGCACACAUUACCGAAAUGGAAAUUGCGUGUUGAAGAAUAGCCGUCCGGACGCUCAUCCCCCAUGGUCCUGACGCUCGAGAGCCUUAUAAGGAAAUUACUUGCAGCGGAUGUGCGACCGUCCGGACGAUGUGCCAUUCCGUCCGGACGAUGUCCUUAAACAGGAAAGAUUUCUUCGCGGAAAUUUCGAAAAAUCUGUUCGCACAGUUGUCUGUCCGGACGGCCCAUGUCCACUGUCCGGACGGUGCCCAGGUAUAUUUUGCCUGACACUCAUUUGAGCCCCCAGUCUAUAAAUAAAGGCCCUUGGGCACUGAGAACUGUAAGAAUUCGGUGUGAAUUCCAUUAGAGCUCAGAGAAGUCAUCAAUCCCUCUGAAGCCGUUUUACAAGUGUGCUGUGCUGUGCUGUAAACCAAAGUCUAUCUUAGAGGUCGGCUCUAAGGUAAGGAGUUCCAUUGAAGACCCCAUCAGGUAGGUGAACCUGGUUGGGAAUUGUUCGUGUUGGGUUACACGUCAGAGAUCAAGGUACGACCACUGCAUCGGUACAUGUGAGUGUUACUGUCUUGUAUCUAGCUAUGUCUUCUGAAUAGUAGAAUUCCAGGGUUUGGCUGC